GGUUACCUAAGAGAGGUUUAAAUUAUAAAACCGACUAUUUGUGAUUAUUGGGAAUCUAAUUGACUUGUGGUGUUGAAGACCUUGUCAUUGACGUAGGGAUCCUAAAACAGGUCAUGUGAUGCCCACCUCGUGCGAGCGGGCUUUUAUCACGCCGACUUCUCUUAGGCUUUUU
RNAcentral lists this non-coding RNA (172 nucleotides) under Bacilli bacterium. Its description in RNAcentral is "6S RNA". It matches the Rfam family "6S / SsrS RNA". From Rfam's summary of the family: E. coli 6S RNA was the first non coding RNA to be sequenced, but its function was unknown until recently. It consists of 184 nucleotides that fold into an extended hairpin structure with a large single-stranded internal bulge. The 6S RNA specifically associates with RNA polymerase holoenzyme containing the sigma70 specificity factor. Lineage: Bacteria; Bacillati; Bacillota; Bacilli. The record is from RNAcentral.